RNAcentral lists this ribosomal RNA (264 nucleotides) under uncultured archaeon. RNAcentral's name for it is "partial 16S ribosomal RNA". It matches the Rfam family "Archaeal small subunit ribosomal RNA", at positions 719 to 982 of the family's 1478-position model. The record is from RNAcentral.
ACACGACUACAUUAGAUACCCGUGUAGUCCCAGCCCUAAACGAUGCGCGUUAGGUGUAUCGGUGACCACGAGUCACCGAGGUGCCGAAGGGAAACCGUGAAACGUGCCGCCUGGGAAGUACGGUCGCAAGGCUGAAACUUAAGGAAUUGGCGGGGGAGCACCACAACGGGUGGAGCCUGCGGUUUAAUUGGACUCAACGCCGGGAAGCUCACCGGAUAAGACAGCGGAAUGAUUGCCGGGCUGAAGACCCUGCAUGACCAGCUG